Molecule: ribosomal RNA, 465 nt
Filed under: Segatella oris
Lineage: Bacteria; Pseudomonadati; Bacteroidota; Bacteroidia; Bacteroidales; Prevotellaceae
Description: bacterial SSU rRNA
Rfam family: Bacterial small subunit ribosomal RNA
Source: RNAcentral
GAUGAACGCUGGCUACAGGCUUAACACAUGCAAGUCGAGGGGAAACGACGGGGAAGCUUGCUUCCCCGGGCGUCGACCGGCGCACGGGUGAGUAACGCGUAUCCAACCUGCCUCUGACUGAGGGAUAACCCGUCGAAAGUCGGCCUAAUACCUCAUGGCAUCGUCUGCGGGCAUCCAACGACGAUUAAAGAUUUCAUCGGUCAGGGAUGGGGAUGCGUCUGAUUAGCUAGUUGGCGGGGUAACGGCCCACCAAGGCGACGAUCAGUAGGGGUUCUGAGAGGAAGGUCCCCCACAUUGGAACUGAGACACGGUCCAAACUCCUACGGGAGGCAGCAGUGAGGAAUAUUGGUCAAUGGGCGAGAGCCUGAACCAGCCAAGUAGCGUGCAGGAUGACGGCCCUAUGGGUUGUAAACUGCUUUUAUGCGGGGAUAAAGUGAGGGACGUGUCCUUCAUUGCAGGUACCGC